AAAGGCACCGGCGGCCCCCUGAGGAGAACUCCGCGUGCUGAGCGCGCAGCAGGCCGGCACAGCCCGAGGGCACGGUCUGGAAACCCCCGCCCGACGCGCAGGGGAAGCACGUUCCGCGCGGGGGAACCCCGCAGCGCCAGGAAAGCACCCGGCGUUCCGCCCAGCGCCGAGCGGCACCGCUCCUCGCUCAGCAAACGGGCAGCGGGGACACAGCAGCUCCUGAGGGGGUCCGUACGUACAGCUCGGGGAGGGGGGGGACGGGGACGCACAAGGCUUGGCGGGGGGGGGCCUGCCCCGAUCGCCGCGAGGAGCGAUGAGGCCGAAAGGCAUAAGCCGCCGCCAUGGCCGGGACGUGAUGGAAAGGAGGCACCGCCCUCUCGUCAUGCGGCGCAUGCGCAGCGCGCCGCUGGGGCUUUCCGGCCGCUUCCCGGCCCUGACGCUCCCCUCGGAGUUCCCCGGGCCGGGGGCCGCCCCUCAGCGCAUAUAGAGCGCUGCCGGCCCGUCCGCUGGGAUCAGCGAGCGGAGGCCGUGGGGGAAGGCUGUUUUGUUCUGCACAAAAGCACUGAUUGAAACUAUAAGCAUUUACAGUUUUUCCUUGUGAGCAGUCAGUACCAGUAUGGAGGCGUAGGCACCUCAAACGGGACUUAAGUCUGGACUCUGGGAGGUAGUUCUGUGCACAAAUAAAGAAACUAAGGCUGUUUUCUUCUUCUACCCAAGGGUUCUGUUUGGUUUGUAAACAUGGCAUACAGAAAAACCUUAAUUUAUCACUAUAAAGUGUUAUUAUGUCCCAACGCAAAGCAAUUUAUUUAUGUUAAAGGUGAUAACUGCAUACUUGUAACUAAGGCACCAGGUUAAAACUGAAACGCGCUGUCCGUUCUGUGCUGUUAUAGAUAGAAGAGCCUGGGGCUGUUCCAGGCUCAUUAGUUAAGACAGCUCAUCCUUGUCAGAGGCAGCGUAUAGGAUUUAUUACAUCUCAUAGCUGAGCUUAAUAUAAGUGAAGUUGAGUAUAAACUGAUAUCUGAAGUCUUAGCAGUUCUUAAAACAAUAUUCAUGUGUCAAAGGUAUUUUUGGCAGUUCAGUAGUAGCAAAUAGACUAGAUCAAUUCAGUGAUGUCAGUUCAGGGGCUCUUUUGAGAUUCCUAAUGAGAUUUGUAAACUGAAAUUUUUAGUUUGUAUAGUUGAUCAGCUCCCCAGGGUGAACUAGUUUUUAAAUCACUUGGCAGUACUUUAAACUGGGAAAUACAAUGUGUCCUCCACCCACCAUUUUAGUUUCUUUAUUAACAAAAGGGUUUUGAUAAACCCAUUUGAGGCUUUCCCCUCAGGACCCCGACCCCACCUGCCUGACUGAUCGAUACUGCUCUCCCAGAUGCACGGCACAAGGAAAGCACACAGUGUGAAUGUGUAGCACAAGGCAAAGUCCUCUUUGACGUACCUGUAUUUGUCAAUGGGAUGGAUCAGCUUUUGCGUGGAAAGCAGUCGUGCAGACACAAGAAUGAGAACCUGGCAAAUGUUUGAAGUCUGAUAGUCACAUGACUGAUUCUAUUCAUACGUGCGUUCGAAGUUACACAUAAAUAUUUCAUUUCCAGGUUCUUAAUUUAUACAGGCAAGGGUUACUCAGAAUUGCCUUUAGUGCACACAACUACCUCCCAGAGGAAGACUUGUCCCAUU
This 1667-nucleotide long non-coding RNA is filed under the name Pavo cristatus (Indian peafowl). Its description in RNAcentral is "lncRNA (ENSPSTG00000012560.1)". The record is from RNAcentral. Lineage: Eukaryota; Metazoa; Chordata; Aves; Galliformes; Phasianidae.